This 301-nucleotide ribosomal RNA is filed under the name uncultured bacterium. RNAcentral describes it as "partial 16S ribosomal RNA". It matches the Rfam family "Bacterial small subunit ribosomal RNA", at positions 509 to 809 of the family's 1533-position model. The record is from RNAcentral.
CAGCAGCCGCGGGAAAACGUAGGGUGCGAGCGUUAAUCGGAAUUACUGGGCGUAAAGUGUGCGCAGGCGGUUCGUUAAGACAGAUGUGAAAUCCCCGGGCUUAACCUGGGAACUGCAUUUGUGACUGGCGAGCUAGAGUAUGGCAGAGGGGGGUAGAAUUCCACGUGUAGCAGUGAAAUGCGUAGAGAUGUGGAGGAAUACCGAUGGCGAAGGCAGCCCCCUGGGCCAAUACUGACGCUCAUGCACGAAAGCGUGGGGAGCAAACAGGAUUAGAGACCCCUGUAGUCCCUGUCUCUUAUAA